Molecule: ribosomal RNA, 460 nt
Filed under: uncultured bacterium
Lineage: Bacteria
Description: partial 16S ribosomal RNA
Rfam family: Bacterial small subunit ribosomal RNA
Source: RNAcentral
CCUACGGGAGGCAGCAGUGAGGAAUAUUGGUCAAUGGACGAGAGUCUGAACCAGCCAAGUAGCGUGAAGGAUGACUGCCCUAUGGGUUGUAAACUUUUUUUAUAUGGGAAUAAAAUGUUCCACGUGUGGGAUUUUGUCUGUACCAUAUGAAUAAGGAUCGGCUAACUCCGUGCCAGCAGCCGCGGUAAUACGGAGGAUCCGAGCGUUAUCCGGAUUUAUUGGGUUUAAAGGGAGCGUAGGUGGAUUGUUAAGUCAGUUGUGAAAGUUUGCGGCUCAACCGUAAAAUUGCAGUUGAAACUGGCAGUCUUGAGUACAGUAGGGGUGGGCGGAAUUCGUGGUGUAGCGGUGAAAUGCUUAGAUAUCACGAAGAACUCCGAUUGCGAAGGCAGUUCACUGGACUGCAACUGACACUGAGGCUCGAAAGUGUGGGUAUCAAACAGGAUUAGAUACCCCAGUAGUC